Molecule: ribosomal RNA, 600 nt
Filed under: Arthrobacter sp. CAL637
Lineage: Bacteria; Bacillati; Actinomycetota; Actinomycetes; Micrococcales; Micrococcaceae
Description: bacterial SSU rRNA
Rfam family: Bacterial small subunit ribosomal RNA
Source: RNAcentral
CGAGUAGACGCUGUGACGCUGGCGGCGUGCUUAACACAUGCAAGUCGAACGAUGAUCCUCAGCUUGCUGGGGGGAUUAGUGGCGAACGGGUGAGUAACACGUGAGUAACCUGCCCUUGACUCUGGGAUAAGCCUGGGAAACCGGGUCUAAUACUGGAUAUGACCUUCUGGCGCAUGCCAUGUUGGUGGAAAGCUUUAUUGCGGUUUUGGAUGGACUCGCGGCCUAUCAGCUUGUUGGUGGGGUAAUGGCCUACCAAGGCGACGACGGGUAGCCGGCCUGAGAGGGUGGACGGCCACACUGGGACUGAGACACGGCCCAGACUCCUACGGGAGGCAGCAGUGGGGAAUAUUGCACAAUGGGCGCAAGCCUGAUGCAGCGACGCCGCGUGGGGGAUGAAGGCCUUCGGGUUGUAAACCUCUUUCAGUAGGGAAGAAGCGAAAGUGACGGUACCUGCAGAAGAAGCGCCGGCUAACUACGUGCCAGCAGCCGCGGUAAUACGUAGGGCGCAAGCGUUAUCCGGAAUUAUUGGGCGUAAAGAGCUCGUAGGCGGUUUGUCGCGUCUGCCGUGAAAGUCCGGGGCUUAACUCCGGAUCUGCGGUG